GAGAACACUUGUGGAGAACAAAAACAACCCAUUAAAACUGUUGUUGUGUUGGUUUUGGAGAAUAGAUCUUUUGAUCAUUUGCUUGGAUGGAUGAAGAAAUCAGUGAAUCCAAGAAUCAAUGGUGUUACUGGAAAAGAGUGUAAUCCAUUGUCUACUAAAGCUCAACAUACUCAAACAAUUUGCUUUACUGAUGAUGCACAGUAUGUGGAUCCAGACCCUGGUCACUCUUUUGAAGAUGUGGAACAACAGGUGUUUGGCUCUGGUUCUGGCUCUAUUCCAUCAAUGUCAGGUUUUGUGGAACAAGCACUCACUAUGUCUGAUAAGAAUCUAUCAAGAGCUGUGAUGAGGGGAUUUAAGCCGGAAAAUGUCCCAAUUUACGAGACAUUAGUUCGCGAAUUCGCGGUAUUUGACAGAUGGUUUUGUUCAAUUCCAGGCCCAACACAACCAAACAGGCUAUUUCUAUACUCUGCAACUUCUCAUGGUUCCACAAGCCAUGUGAAGAAGCAGUUGGCUACAGGGUAUCCACAGAAAACCAUAUUCGAUUCGUUACACGAGAACGGAUUAGAUUUUGGUAUUUACUAUCAAAACAUACCAUCAACUCUGUUUUACAGAAAUCUAAGGAUGUUGAAGUACAUGUUUAAGUUUCAUCAGUAUGAUUUGAAGUUCAAGAAAGAUGCUAAAAAUGGCAACUUGCCUAAUUUGACAGUGAUUGAGCCAAGGUAUUUCGGUAUAAUCGGAUAUCCAGCAAAUGAUGAUCAUCCAUCA
Molecule: unclassified non-coding RNA, 765 nt
Filed under: Hevea brasiliensis (rubber tree)
Lineage: Eukaryota; Viridiplantae; Streptophyta; Magnoliopsida; Malpighiales; Euphorbiaceae
Source: RNAcentral